GACGAACCGUGCGAACGUUGUUCGGAAUCACUGGGCUUAAAGGGCGCGUAGGCGGGUCGACAAGUCCGCGGUGAAAUCCCCCCGCUCAACGGGGGAACGGCCGCGGAUACUGUCGGCCUCGAGGGGGGUAGGGGCGAGCGGAACGCUGGGUGGAGCGGUGAAAUGCGUUGAUAUCCAGCGGAACUCCGGUGGCGAAGGCGGCUCGCUGGACCUUCACUGACGCUGAGGCGCGAAAGCCAGGGGAGCGAACGGG
RNAcentral lists this ribosomal RNA (253 nucleotides) under uncultured bacterium. RNAcentral describes it as "partial 16S ribosomal RNA". It matches the Rfam family "Bacterial small subunit ribosomal RNA", at positions 524 to 776 of the family's 1533-position model. The record is from RNAcentral.